GACGAACGCUGGCGGCGUGCUUAACACAUGCAAGUCGAACGGGUCUGCCCUGUUUUUUGCGGGGUGGGUCAGUGGCGAACGGGUGAGUAACACGUGAGUAACCUGCCCCUCACUUCUGGAUAACCGCUUGAAAGGGUGGCUAAUACGGGGUGUUCUGGCUGUGCCGCAUGGUGUGGCUGGGAAAGAUUCACUUUUGUGGUGUUUUGGUGGGGGAUGGGCUCGCGGCCUAUCAGCUUGUUGGUGGGGUGAUGGCCUGCCAAGGCUUUGACGGGUAGCCGGCCUGAGAGGGUGGGCGGUCACCCUGGGACUGAGAUACGGCCCAGACUCCUGCGGGAGGCAGCAGUGGGGGGUAUUGCACAAUGGGCGGAAGCCUGAUGCAGCGACGUCGCGUGAGGGAUGGAGGCCUUCGGGUUGUGAACCUCUUUCGCCGGUGAAGAAGGUCCUGCUCUUUGUGGUGGGGUUGACGGUAGCCGGGUUAUGAAGCGCCGGCUAACUACGU
Molecule: ribosomal RNA, 499 nt
Filed under: uncultured bacterium
Lineage: Bacteria
Description: partial 16S ribosomal RNA
Rfam family: Bacterial small subunit ribosomal RNA
Source: RNAcentral